AAAAAAUUUGCUGAAUUUAUAGCAGAUAAACUUAACGAGUCAUCAUCAAAGAUUCGUGUCUGCCUGCCACAAAAGGGUAUCUCAGCUUUGGAUGCACCUGGGAAACCAUUUUGUGACCCUGAGUCUACUGCUACUCUAAUAAGUGAACUACAGAAGCUAAUACAGAUAAAUGAAGACCGGCAGGUACAGGUGUGUUCUUAUCAUAUCAAUGACCCAGAAUUCGCAGAUACAUUGGUGGAUUCCUUUUU
Molecule: unclassified non-coding RNA, 248 nt
Filed under: Hevea brasiliensis (rubber tree)
Lineage: Eukaryota; Viridiplantae; Streptophyta; Magnoliopsida; Malpighiales; Euphorbiaceae
Source: RNAcentral